GUACGUAGGGGCUAGCGUUAUCCGGAAUUACUGGGCGUAAAGGGUGCGUAGGUGGUUUCUUAAGUCAGAGGUGAAAGGCUACGGCUCAACCGUAGUAAGCCUUUGAAACUGAGAAACUUGAGUGCAGGAGAGGAGAGUGGAAUUCCUAGUGUAGCGGUGAAAUGCGUAGAUAUUAGGAGGAACACCAGUAGCGAAGGCGGCUCUCUGGACUGUAACUGACGCUGAGGCACGAAAGCGUGGGGAGCAAACAGGAUUAGAUACCCUGGUAGUCCCUGA
RNAcentral lists this ribosomal RNA (276 nucleotides) under uncultured prokaryote. Its description in RNAcentral is "partial 16S ribosomal RNA". It matches the Rfam family "Bacterial small subunit ribosomal RNA", at positions 523 to 800 of the family's 1533-position model. The record is from RNAcentral.